AUUGAACGCUGGCGGCAGGCCUAACACAUGCAAGUCGAAUGGUAACAGGAAACAGCUUGCUGUUUCGCUGACGAGUGGCGGACGGGUGAGUAAUGUCUGGGAAACUGCCUGAUGGCGGGGGAUAACUACUGGAAACGGUAGCUAAUACCGCAUAACGUCGCAAGACCAAAGAGGGGGACCUUCGGGCCUCUUGCCAUCGGAUGUGCCCAGAUGGGAUUAGCUAGUAGGUGGGGUAACGGCUCACCUAGGCGACGAUCCCUAGCUGGUCUGAGAGGAUGACCAGCCACACUGGAACUGAGACACGGUCCAGACUCCUACGGGAGGCAGCAGUGGGGAAUAUUGCACAAUGGGCGCAAGCCUGAUGCAGCCAUGCCGCGUGUAUGAAGAAGGCCUUCGGGUUGUAAAGUACUUUCAGCGGGGAGGAAGGGAGUAAAGUUAAUACCUUUGCUCAUUGACGUUACCCGCAGAAGAAGCACCGGCUAACUCCGUG
This 490-nucleotide ribosomal RNA is filed under the name uncultured bacterium. RNAcentral's name for it is "partial 16S ribosomal RNA". It matches the Rfam family "Bacterial small subunit ribosomal RNA", at positions 30 to 507 of the family's 1533-position model. The record is from RNAcentral.